AGACUACUAUUUGAAGGGCAACUUGAAUGCAGUCUAGUCCCAGGACUAACGGGUCGGUUUUAAUGAAUCUACAAGCCUCCAAAAUGGAUGAAAGGCACGGGACCAUGAGCCAAGGAAUGCAGAUGUCUAGAAGCUGAGAAUGAUCCCAAUCUGACAGCCACAAGGGAAUGGUAACCUUUGUCGUACAACUGCAUGGAACUGAGCUUGGCCAACAACCAGAAUGAGUCUGGAAGAUUCAUUAGCAGAGCCUCUAGAAAGGAACACAGAGCUCCUGCUAUGGCAGAUCUAGAGCAGAGAAACCAGCUGAGCCUACAAGCCUUCUGACUUCAAAACUGUUAGAUAAUAAACGGGUGUUGUUUUAAGCUGCUGCAUUUGUCGUAAUUUGUUAUGGAUGCAAUCGAGAAUUAAUACACAGUCUGCAGUUUGUCUUGUCAUCCUCUUAACAAGAUCUCUCCCAGAGCAAAUUUUUUAAUUUUGAUGAAGUGCAAUCUAUCAAUUAUUUUCUUUUGUGGAUUGUGCUUUUGGUGUCAAGUUUAAGAACUCUUCCCCAAGUUCUAGGUUCGGAAGAUGUUUUCUUAUGUAUUCUUUGAAAUCAUAUAGUUCACAUUUUACCUUUGACUAAGUGAUCUGUUUACAGUUAAUUUUUGUUCAAGAUGUGAAGUGUUGGUUGAGGUUCUUUUUUUGCCUUUGGUUAUCCAAUCACUUCAACACCAGUUGUUGAAAAAUUACCCAUCGAAUUGCUUUUGCACAUUUGUCACAAACCAGUUGACUGUUGUUGGGUGGGGCCAUAUUUUUUUUCCUGUUCUGUUCCACUGGUCUACGUGUCUGUUCCUCUGACAUUAACACAUAGUCCUGAUUACCAUAGCUAUAUAAUAAGUCUUACAACUGGGUUGAAUGACUCCUCUCAUUUUAUUUUUUCAAAAUUAUUUUAGCUGUUCUAAUUCCUUUGUUUCUCCACACAAAUUUUGGAAUAAACUUGCUUAUAUUUGCAAAUACCUUGCUGAGAUUUUGAUAAGAGUUAUGUUAAAUCUGUACAUCAAAUUGGGGAGAAUUGACAUCUUUGCUAUGUUGGGUAUUACAAUCCAUGAGUGUCGUGUGUCUGUCUGUUUUUUAUUUUUAUUUCUUUCAGCAGCAGCUUUCAGACCUUGACAUGUAAGUCCGGUAUAUCUUUUGUUAGAUUUAUACCUAAGUAUUUCAUUUUUAAAGAGAUUGUAAAUGGUAUUGUAUGUUUAAUUUUGAUUUCUGUGUAUUCAUGCUAAGAUAUGGAAAUAGAGUUAAUUGUCCUUUGUAGAUCUUUUAUCUUGUGACUUUAAUAAAACUGUUUUAUUAGUUCCA
Felis catus (domestic cat) is the source of this 1335-nucleotide long non-coding RNA. RefSeq lists it as uncharacterized. The record is from RefSeq and is a predicted model, not a curated record. The transcript has 2 exons. NCBI's taxonomy places the organism in Eukaryota, Metazoa, Chordata, Mammalia, Carnivora, Felidae.